This 230-nucleotide ribosomal RNA is filed under the name uncultured bacterium. RNAcentral's name for it is "partial 16S ribosomal RNA". It matches the Rfam family "Bacterial small subunit ribosomal RNA", at positions 28 to 263 of the family's 1533-position model. The record is from RNAcentral.
GACGAACGCUGGCGGCGUGCUUAACACAUGCAAGUCACGGGGGUCCGCAAGGGAUAACCGGCGAACGGGUGCGUAACACGUGAGCAACCUGCCUUUGUGUGGGGGAGUAGCCGGGCUAACGCCCGGGUAAUACCGCAUACGGUUCCCGGAGGGGGAGUCCCUUGGGAAAGGAAACCUCCGGGGCACAGAGAGGGGCUCGCGGCCUAUCAGCUAGGUUGGGGGGUAGGUAG